AUUCCAGCUCCAAUAGCGUAUAUUAAAGUUGUUGCAGUUAAAAAGCUCGUAGUUGAAUUUUGGACCUGGUUGAAUGGUCCCGCCGCAAGGUGGGUACUGUUUGAUUGGGUCUUUCUUUGCGGGGAAUUAGUGUGCUCUUAAUUGGGUGCAUUAAGGAUCCGUAACUUUUACUUUGAAAAAAUUAGAGUGUUUAAAGCAGGCUUAGGCCUGAAUACAUUAGCAUGGAAUAAUAGAAUAGGACCUGUGUCCUAUUUUGUUGGUUUCUAGGACGUAGGUAAUGAUUAAUAGGGACAGUUGGGGGCAUUAGUAUUUAAGUGUCAGAGGUGAAAUUCUUGGAUUGCUUAAAGACUAACUUCUGCGAAAGCAUUUGCCAAGGAUGUUUUCAUCA
Molecule: ribosomal RNA, 388 nt
Filed under: Chytridiomycetes sp.
Lineage: Eukaryota; Fungi; Chytridiomycota; Chytridiomycetes
Description: partial small subunit ribosomal RNA
Rfam family: Eukaryotic small subunit ribosomal RNA
Source: RNAcentral